UUCGGUGAGAUAAAGCCACCUUCGUAUCUUCUUACUUUGGUAAGCGUAUAACAGCUUUGUAAGCGUUCGGCUUUAGUGUUUAUUAUUCCUUAACCACGCUGUACGCCGGAGCUUGUCAACUUGGGCUUCUCGUAUAACCGCGGUAGCUGGCACGAGUUUUACCAGCCCUUUUAACCAUAACUAAGUCAAGUUUGCACUUAUUGGCUUAAUGUCUGUCACUGCUGAGUUCCCUGGGGGGUGUGGCUGAGCAAGGUGUUGUGGGCUAUAAGGGCAUGUGCCUGAUACCAGCUCCUUGUUCCCGGACGGGGAACUGUGGGGCAUUCUCACGCGGGUGCGGAUACUCGCAUGUGUAAAUCUGGUUAAAGCUGACAGGAAAGUCAGGACCAAGCCUUUG
Molecule: ribosomal RNA, 394 nt
Filed under: Epinephelus coioides (orange-spotted grouper)
Lineage: Eukaryota; Metazoa; Chordata; Actinopteri; Perciformes; Serranidae
Description: partial 12S ribosomal RNA
Source: RNAcentral